CAAAAGGUAGCUUAAUCCAAAGCAUUUAACUUACAAUUAAAAAAUAUUCUAUAAGAAUCCUCUUGA
This 66-nucleotide transfer RNA is filed under the name Teratoscincus roborowskii. RNAcentral's name for it is "tRNA-Val". It matches the Rfam family "tRNA". Rfam says of the family: Transfer RNA (tRNA) molecules are approximately 80 nucleotides in length. Lineage: Eukaryota; Metazoa; Chordata; Lepidosauria; Squamata; Sphaerodactylidae. RNAcentral also lists the same sequence under 1 other name. The record is from RNAcentral.